AUGAUAGAAGAGUUGGGGUCGAUCCAUGACAAUAAUUCAUGGGAGCUUGUGGAUCUUCCCAACAAUGAAAAGGCUAUGGAGCUCAAGUGGGAAUUUAAGGUCAAGAAAGAUGUUGAAGGGUGCAUGAAGCACAAAGCGAGGCUACUAACCAGAGAGUAUGUGCAAGAGGAAGGUGUGGACUUCGAAGAAGUGUUCAUUCCCAUUGCAAAGAUGGAGUCGGUGAGAUUACUCAUCACUCUCGCGGCUCAGGACUCAUGGAAGGUACAUCACAUGGAUGUAAACUCUGCGGUUUUGAAUGGCGAGAUAGAAGGAGAUGCGUAUGUGAAUCAACCAUCAGAUUUCAUCAAAGAGGGAGAAGAGCACAAGGUACUGAAGUCACACAAAAUCUUGUAUGGGCUAUGGCAAGGACCUCGGGAGUGGAACAUCAAACUUGGUCGGACAUUGAUUUCUCUUGGAUUUGAGAAAGCCCCACUAGAGCAUGCAAUGUACAAGCGAGGUGAAGGAAGGGAUCGUCUACUAGUUGGCAUCUAUGUCGACGACCUAUUAAUUACCGGAGCAGAUGAAGAGUUGAUUGCAAAGUUCAAGCUACAGAUGAAAGAGCUUUUCAAGAUGGAUGAUCUCGGUCUUUUGAGCUACUACCACGGGAUAGAGGUACAUCAAAAGAUGGAGGGGAUCACAUUAUGCCAGGAGGCAUACAGAAGGAAGGUACUUGAAAGCCGUGCCAUGAAAUAUUGCAAUCCAAUUGAUGCUCCAAUGGAACCUUGUCUUGAGCUGAACAAGAAGAGUAAAGCAACCGCGGCGUGUGAAGGUGUGUGGCUAGGGCGGCUACACGGUGAUCUCAUGGAUCGAGAUCCGGAACAAGUGGUGCUUAAUGUUGAUAGCAAGUCUGAAAGUUUUAUACGCGAAGAUUCAGUGCGGCAUGAUAGAAGCAAGCACACUGAUACGGUGUAUCACUACAUAAAGGACUGCGUGGAAGAAGCUAAGAUGAAGGUCAACUAUGUUUGCACCGAUGAUCAGAUGGCAAACAUCCUAACCAAGGCUUUGGAUCGAGAGAAGCUCUUGGAGAUACGAAGAAGGAUCGGCGUCGGAGCUGUGACAUGA
Molecule: ribosomal RNA, 1101 nt
Filed under: Triticum aestivum (bread wheat)
Lineage: Eukaryota; Viridiplantae; Streptophyta; Magnoliopsida; Poales; Poaceae
Description: partial small subunit ribosomal RNA
Source: RNAcentral